Long non-coding RNA from Zingiber officinale, 633 nucleotides. RefSeq lists it as uncharacterized. The transcript is spliced from 3 exons. NCBI's taxonomy places the organism in Eukaryota, Viridiplantae, Streptophyta, Magnoliopsida, Zingiberales, Zingiberaceae. The record is from RefSeq and is a predicted model, not a curated record.
CCAUUUAACUAAGGAAAUGUUUUAUUUAUAAAUUCAAAUUCGUUUCCUUUUCUCCCCCAAAUCGCCGAUCCACUCCUCUUCCCCGACCCUUCCUCUGUUCUCUCUCGCGGACGAACCGAACCCAGUGGACUUCCGGCAAUCGUCGACGUCGACUGAGGCCUCGUCGCCGGAGCUUGCCAGAGAUCGAAGAAGGGGGCCGGAUCAUCUUGAUCUCCUCUUCUCCACCCUUCCCCAACGCCGACACCAAGGGAGAUGAUCGCCGGAAUGAAGAGGCAAUUAGGGCUCCGAGGCUAGCUCCGAUUUCUUCUUCUCUGGAUGUUCACUGAUCUGUGCCCUAGCACGGUCUGCGUUUCCCCGAUCGAUGCCAUUGGAUCAAGCCAGAUCCACCGAUCGCCGGUGUAGAGAGGGAGUUAGGGCUUCAAUGGGUCAGGUCAUGGAUCGUUUGAGUGGAUCUUGGAUUCCUCUGCCGGAGCUAGGUCUUGGCAGACGCUGGCUAGUUGAGGGUCAGUAGAUUCAAUACAUUGCAUUAUGGAUUGGAUUAGGUGACACUUUCUGGAGGCAACCGAUCGAGUACUUGGACUUUCUCUUCUUCACUGUGAUUGAGGUCUCGGUUGAAGUGGAGAAGAAUCCCAA